Long non-coding RNA from Eriocheir sinensis (Chinese mitten crab), 614 nucleotides. RefSeq lists it as uncharacterized. The record is from RefSeq and is a predicted model, not a curated record. NCBI's taxonomy places the organism in Eukaryota, Metazoa, Arthropoda, Malacostraca, Decapoda, Varunidae. The transcript is spliced from 4 exons.
GGUAGGCAUCUUCCAGGUGGGGCCUGAUGGUCGGCCCAAGGCUUCUUCCAGGUGGGGCCUGAUGGUCGGCCCAAGGCUUCUUCCAGGUGGGGCCUGAUGGUCGGCCCAAGGCUUCUUCCAGGUGGGGCCUGAUGGUCGGCCCAAGGCUUCUUCCAGGUGGGGCCUGAUGGUCGGCCCAAGGCUUCUUCCAGGUGGGGCCUGAUGGUCGGCCCAAGGCUUCUUCCAGGUGGGGCCUGAUGGUCGGCCCAAGGCUUCUUCCAGGUGGGGCCUGAUGGUCGGCCCAAGGCUUCUUCCAGGUGGGGCCUGAUGGUCGGCCCAAGGCUUCUUCCAGGUGGGGCCUGAUGGUCGGCCCAAGGCUUCUUCCAGGUGGGGCCUGAUGGUCGGCCCAAGGCUUCUUCCAGGUGGGGCCUGAUGGUCGGCCCAAGGCUUCUUCCAGGUGGGGCCUGAUGGUCGGCCCAGCCCGUUCUGGCGCAGGCGAGUGUUUAUAGUGGCGCCAUCUUGCUAGUUAGUCUAGUUAGUCUUAGGAUCGUCUUAUUACUAGUAUUCAACACCCAACAUAAGCUAUUUUUACUACUACUUCUACUACUACUACUACUACUACUAUUACUACUAUU